This 301-nucleotide ribosomal RNA is filed under the name uncultured bacterium. RNAcentral's name for it is "partial 16S ribosomal RNA". It matches the Rfam family "Bacterial small subunit ribosomal RNA", at positions 509 to 807 of the family's 1533-position model. The record is from RNAcentral.
CAGCAGCCGCGGUAAGACGAACCGUGCGAACGUUAUUCGGAAUCACUGGGCUUAAAGCGCGUGUAGGCGGGAGGGCACGUCCGUCGCUGAAAUCCCCCGGCUCAACCGGGGAACGGGCGCGGAUACGACUCUUCUGGAGGAACGUAGGGGGACCUGGAACUUCCGGUGGAGCGGUGAAAUGCGUUGAGAUCGGAAGGAACGCCCGUGGCGAAAGCGAGGUCCUGGACGUUUACUGACGCUGAGACGCGAAAGCCAGGGGAGCGAACGGGAUUAGAUACCCGUGUAGUCCCUGUCUCUUAUA